Molecule: ribosomal RNA, 527 nt
Filed under: uncultured bacterium
Lineage: Bacteria
Description: bacterial SSU rRNA
Rfam family: Bacterial small subunit ribosomal RNA
Source: RNAcentral
AAUAGAUACCCGGGUAGUCCUGGCCCUAAACGAUGAGUGCUUGGUGUGGCGGGUAUCGAUCCCUGCCGUGCCGAAGCUAACGCAUUAAAGCACUCCGCCUGGGGAGUACGGUCGCAAGGCUGAAACUCAAAGGAAAUUGACGGGGGCCCGGCACAAGCGGUGGAGCAUGUGGUUUAAUUCGACGCAACGCGAAGAACCUUACUCAGGCUCGAAAUGCAGACGAUCGCCGGUGAGAGCCGGUUCCCGCAAGGGCGUCUGUAUAGGUGCUGCAUGGCUGUCGUCAGCUCGUGUCGUGAGAUGUUGGGUUAAGUCCCGCAACGAGCGCAACCCUUGUCUUCUGUUGCCAUCAGGUCAAGCUGGGCACUCUGGAGAAACUGCCGGUGACAAACCGGAGGAAGGUGGGGAUGACGUCAAGUCAGCAUGGCCUUUAUGUCUGGGGCUACACACGUGCUACAAUGGCCGGUACAAACCGUUGCAAACUCGCGAGGGUGAGCUAAUCGGAGAAAGCCGGUCUCAGUUCGGAUUGU